This 254-nucleotide ribosomal RNA is filed under the name uncultured bacterium. RNAcentral's name for it is "partial 16S ribosomal RNA". It matches the Rfam family "Bacterial small subunit ribosomal RNA", at positions 524 to 776 of the family's 1533-position model. The record is from RNAcentral.
UACGGGGGGAGCAAGCGUUGUUCGGAUUUACUGGGCGUAAAGGGCGCGUAGGCGGCCACCGCAAGUCAGUUGUGAAAUCUCUGGGCUUAACCCAGAACGGUCAGCUGAUACUGCGGGGCUAGAGUGCAGAAGGGGCAACUGGAAUUCUCGGUGUAGCGGUGAAAUGCGUAGAUAUCGAGAGGAACACCGAUGGCGAAGGCAGUUCUCUGGGCCGUAACUGACGCUGAGGAGCGAAAGCAUGGGGAGCGAACAGG